GAGCCCCAACCCAAACGGCAUAGAUAUAAACACCACAACUCCACACUCCAGGAAGAGGAAUCGAGUCGGAGCCAUAAAUUGAAGGAGAAGCAACACAAUGUCUCCCCCGUUAACAUCAGUAUCGCUCAGCCGGUAUCGGCUGUGACGCUGGUGGCUGCUCCGGUGAGCUCAGAUCUGAGCUCAGGUAAACCCUAGCGACACCUCCCCCAAACAAUUGCUUUGACCGCCCCCCCCCCUCGUGCUACCCCCACCGCACUCCACUUCCUUAUCGCCGCCACCUUGUCGCCUCCCUGUCAAGAAAUUGCCGC
RNAcentral lists this long non-coding RNA (308 nucleotides) under Salvia miltiorrhiza (redroot sage). Its description in RNAcentral is "long non-coding RNA (SMIL_LNC009430)". The record is from RNAcentral. Lineage: Eukaryota; Viridiplantae; Streptophyta; Magnoliopsida; Lamiales; Lamiaceae.